CUGGAACUCUUAAUGUCUUAGAAGAUCUGAAACUGCAAAAUUUGAACAUAGAGAACAAUCAAUUCUCUGGACCAGUGCCUCUGCAGAUGCUCAGCAGUAUUCCAAACUUCAGUAAAGAUGGAAAUCCAUUUAAUGUAACUCCUGGGGCAUCACCAACAGAACCGCCAUCCCCAUUCUUCUCUGAGUCUCCGGCCAUUCCAGUUACUCCCCAGAACAAUUCAUAAGGAUCAUCUCAGAGUAUAAAAUCCCACAGUUUGAGUGUUAACAGAUUCUUCACCACCGGCAGGACAGUUGGGCUGGUUUUUGCAAUACUUUUGGCAAUUGGUGUAGUAAUUUUAGCUAUUUGUAUAUGUGUAUCGUGGUUCAGAGACAGACAUGAUGUCAUAAGUAGAUAUGAGGGAAAAGAUAAGGUACCUACCUAUAGAGAACCUGAAAAAAAACAUCCAAAAAGUGAGGCUUUGAUGCAAAAAGACUGUGACAUUGUGAAAGGUAGUUAUUGGCUUCAUGAAUUGAUUUCCCCUGAUUGAACCCCUUUACAACCAACCUAGCUUUGUAUCUUGGGUUUAGAGAGUUUUCAUCAUGCUUCACUCUAAAAACCCAUUUGUUUCUCAAUGCCCUCUUGCCUUGGGGCAACUCCACAAGCUCGAAGGUGUGGUUGUCGUAAAGUGACUGCAUCUCAUCUUUCAUGGCUUCCAUCCACUUUUCCUUGUGCACAUCAUGCAUAGCUUCUUCAUAGCAUUCAGGCUCACCACUGUCAGUCAACAAAAUAUAGUCAUGUGCGGGAUAUCUAG
Long non-coding RNA from Nymphaea colorata (pocket water lily), 791 nucleotides. RefSeq lists it as uncharacterized. The transcript has 3 exons. NCBI's taxonomy places the organism in Eukaryota, Viridiplantae, Streptophyta, Magnoliopsida, Nymphaeales, Nymphaeaceae. The record is from RefSeq and is a predicted model, not a curated record.